GACGUAGGAGGCGAGCGUUGUCCGGAUUCAUUGGGCGUAAAGAGCACGCAGGCGGUUUGGCAAGUCGGAUGUGAAAACCCGGAGCUCAACUCCGGACCUGCAUCCGAAACUGCCCGACUAGAGGUAGGUAGGGGAGAUCGGAAUUCCUGGUGUAGCGGUGAAAUGCGCAGAUAUCAGGAGGAACACCGAUGGCGAAGGCAGGUCUCUGGGCCACUACUGACGCUGAGAAGCGAAAGCAUGGGGAGCGAACAGG
RNAcentral lists this ribosomal RNA (253 nucleotides) under uncultured bacterium. RNAcentral's name for it is "partial 16S ribosomal RNA". It matches the Rfam family "Bacterial small subunit ribosomal RNA", at positions 524 to 776 of the family's 1533-position model. The record is from RNAcentral.